CAGCCGCCGCGGUAAUACGUAGGGUGCAAGCGUUAAUCGGAAUUACUGGGCGUAAAGCGUGCGCAGGCGGUUCGGAAAGAAAGAUGUGAAAUCCCAGAGCUUAACUUUGGAACUGCAUUUUUAACUACCGGGCUAGAGUGUGUCAGAGGGAGGUGGAAUUCCGCGUGUAGCAGUGAAAUGCGUAGAUAUGCGGAGGAACACCGAUGGCGAAGGCAGCCUCCUGGGAUAACACUGACGCUCAUGCACGAAAGCGUGGGGAGCAAACAGGAUUAGAUACCCUGGUAGGCCACGCCCUAAACGAUGUCAACUAGCUGUUGGGGCCUUCGGGCCUUGGUAGCGCAGCUAACGCGUGAAGUUGACCGCCUGGGGAGUACGGUCGCAAGAUUAAAACUUAAAGGAAUUGGCGGG
RNAcentral lists this ribosomal RNA (408 nucleotides) under uncultured microorganism. RNAcentral describes it as "bacterial SSU rRNA". It matches the Rfam family "Bacterial small subunit ribosomal RNA", at positions 509 to 917 of the family's 1533-position model. The record is from RNAcentral.